Molecule: ribosomal RNA, 410 nt
Filed under: uncultured Flavobacteriia bacterium
Lineage: Bacteria; Pseudomonadati; Bacteroidota; Flavobacteriia
Description: bacterial SSU rRNA
Rfam family: Bacterial small subunit ribosomal RNA
Source: RNAcentral
AAUGGACGAAAGUCUGAUCCAGCCAUGCCGCGUGCAGGAUGACAGCCUACGGGUUGUAAACUGCUUUUAUACAGGAAGAACAUACCGACGUGUCGGAGCUUGACGGUACUGUAAGAAUAAGGAUCGGCUAACUCCGUGCCAGCAGCCGCGGUAAUACGGAGGAUCCAAGCGUUAUCCGGAAUCAUUGGGUUUAAAGGGUCCGCAGGCUGUUUUUUAAGUCAGAGGUGAAAUCCUGCAGCUUAACCGUAGAACUGCCUUUGAUACUGGAAAACUUGAGUUAUUGUGAAGUGGUUAGAAUGUGUGGUGUAGCGGUGAAAUGCAUAGAUAUCACACAGAAUACCGAUUGCGAAGGCAGAUCACUAACAAUAUACUGACGCUCAUGGACGAAAGCGUGGGGAGCGAACAGGAUU